RNAcentral lists this unclassified non-coding RNA (200 nucleotides) under soil metagenome. Its description in RNAcentral is "partial contains internal transcribed spacer 2 and large subunit ribosomal RNA". The record is from RNAcentral.
CCUGUUCGAGCGUCAUUUAACCACUCAAGCCUGGCUUGGUAUUGGGGCACGCAGUCUCGCGGCCCUCAAAAUCAGUGGCGGCGCCGGUGGGCUCUAAGCGUAGUACAUACUCCCGCUAUAGAGUUCCCCUGGUAGCUUGCCAGAACCCCCAAUUUUUACAGGUUGACCUCGGAUCAGGUAGGGAUACCCGCUGAACUUAA